RNAcentral lists this ribosomal RNA (548 nucleotides) under uncultured bacterium. RNAcentral describes it as "bacterial SSU rRNA". It matches the Rfam family "Bacterial small subunit ribosomal RNA", at positions 355 to 896 of the family's 1533-position model. The record is from RNAcentral.
UGGGGAAUUUUGGACAAUGGGCGCAAGCCUGAUCCAGCCAUGCCGCGUGCGGGAAGAAGGCCUUCGGGUUGUAAACCGCUUUUGUCAGGGAAGAAAUCCCUUGAGAUAAUACCUCGGGGGGAUGACGGUACCUGAAGAAUAAGCACCGGCUAACUACGUGCCAGCAGCCGCGGUAAUACGUAGGGUGCGAGCGUUAAUCGGAAUUACUGGGCGUAAAGCGUGCGCAGGCGGUCUUGCAAGACAGGUGUGAAAUCCCCGGGCUUAACCUGGGAACUGCACUUGUGACUGCAAGGCUGGAGUACGGCAGAGGGGGAUGGAAUUCCGCGUGUAGCAGUGAAAUGCGUAGAUAUGCGGAGGAACACCGAUGGCGAAGGCAAUCCCCUGGGCCUGUACUGACGCUCAUGCACGAAAGCGUGGGGAGCAAACAGGAUUAGAUACCCUGGUAGUCCACGCCCUAAACGAUGUCAACUGGUUGUUGGACGGCUUGCUGUUCAGUAACGAAGCUAACGCGUGAAGUUGACCGCCUGGGGAGUACGGCCGCAAGGUUG